UACGUAGGGGGCGAGCGUUAUCCGGAAUCAUUGGGCGUAAAGCGCGUGUAGGCGGUUCCGUAAGUCCGCUCUGAAAGCCCAGGGCUCAACCCUGGGAGGCGGGUGGAUACUACGGAACUGGAGUACGGAAGAGGAGAGCGGAAUUCCUGGUGUAGCGGUGAAAUGCGCAGAUAUCAGGAAGAACACCCGUGGCUAAGGCGGCUCUCUAGUACGGUACUGACGCUGAGACGCGAAAGCGUGGGGAGCGAACAGG
RNAcentral lists this ribosomal RNA (253 nucleotides) under uncultured bacterium. RNAcentral's name for it is "partial 16S ribosomal RNA". It matches the Rfam family "Bacterial small subunit ribosomal RNA", at positions 524 to 776 of the family's 1533-position model. The record is from RNAcentral.